UGAGUAGGCGGUUAUAUAUGUCAGGUGUAAAAGGCUAUGGCUUAACCAUGGUUAGCACUUGAAACUGUAUGACUUGAGUGCAGGAGAGGUAAGCGGAAUUCCUAGUGUAGCGGUGAAAUGCGUAGAUAUUAGGAGGAACACCAGUGGCGAAGGCGGCUUACUGGACUGUAACUGACGCUGAGUCACGAAAGCGUGGGUAGCAAACAG
This 207-nucleotide ribosomal RNA is filed under the name uncultured Eubacteriales bacterium. RNAcentral describes it as "uncultured Clostridiales bacterium partial 16S ribosomal RNA". It matches the Rfam family "Bacterial small subunit ribosomal RNA", at positions 568 to 775 of the family's 1533-position model. Lineage: Bacteria; Bacillati; Bacillota; Clostridia; Eubacteriales. The record is from RNAcentral.